RNAcentral lists this long non-coding RNA (335 nucleotides) under Anas platyrhynchos platyrhynchos (common mallard). Its description in RNAcentral is "lncRNA (ENSAPLG00000017192.1)". Lineage: Eukaryota; Metazoa; Chordata; Aves; Anseriformes; Anatidae. The record is from RNAcentral.
CACCAGUGGCAGACAGAAAUUGGGAAGUUGCUAUGUCUGCAUGUAAUGGUCAUUUACUACAGAAGAAAAACAGCAAAAGGGAGAUAAAAUCCAAAGGCAAGCAUUUGAGGUAUGCGGAUGAAGAGCACAAACCUUACUGAAAGACUGGAGCACAUCAGACUUGAAACUUCACAGUGGACAUUGUAAACAGCCUUCACCAAGACAUGCUGCACAAGUCUGGCUUUGUAUUAAUGGCAUGAGUGAUUCCUAACUUCCUAUUCAUACAGGAAUGGUGCUUCAAUUGUCUGCAAAGGCAAGCCCUUUGAUAGGUAAUAGUUCAUAACACUGGACAAGCG